GAACUGCGAUAAGUAGUGUGAAUUGCAGAAUUCAGUGAAUCAUCAAACUCUUGAACGCAAAUGGCGCCCUAUGGUAACGUAGGGCACGCCUGUUUGAGCCUCGGCAAUCAACCUCACCCUACCCCAAAAGGGCGGGUGGAUAUGAGGGUUACCCGUUUAUGGCGGGCAUCCCUUAAAAUGGAGGUUGCCAGGCUUGGUAGGAUCAUUGCUCCUGGGCCACGCAAACAACCAGUUCGAAGAUGACUUUUACGGUCUUGUUUGACUGGCUUGCAGUGAACCCCUGGGCAAUGCCUACCUCGAAGCUGGCCGGAUGUGCCCUUUGUUGGGUACCCUUCCAAAUCUUCGAGCUCAAAUCAGGCGAGGCUACCCGCUGAAUUUAA
Molecule: unclassified non-coding RNA, 380 nt
Filed under: uncultured fungus
Lineage: Eukaryota; Fungi
Description: sequence contains ITS1
Rfam family: 5.8S ribosomal RNA (bases 1-103)
Source: RNAcentral